AAAAAAACCCCGAAAAAACCAAACACCAAGGUUUGGCACAAUAUCCAUCCUAAAAAUAGACUUUUUUUUUUUGAUUUUCUCUUCCUUUUCUCUGCUCCUCCCCACAGAGUCUUUCCCUCUUUCACCCGGCCAGAUCUCAGGCAUCUCUCUCAAUCUAUUUUUUUCACUGUAUAUAUUUCAUUUUCUUUUUUUUCUACAGUCACUCAAGUAGCUGUGCUCCCGAUAAUAGCCAAGUGAAAGUCAAAAUUUGUAACACAUGGUAUUUCAGCAGGUUUGAAAUCUGUCAAAACAUUUUAGCCCAUUGUUAAUAAGAACAGGACGUCCAUGGAUUAUUUCCAGCUCUCUCUCCCUUGUGAGUUUAUUGCCUCUGAUUCAAAAGUGCUGCAUUUUUAAUAGACUUGGGUCAAGUCUUCAAAAAAACUUCCAUGGAAAGUCACUCAAAUUUGAAUUUGUUUACUUGUGUUUAUACCCCUUUUAUGUUCACUUCCCAUGAAAGGCCUAGUGAAUGAGGUUACUGACAAGGAUGCUCAUGGUAAGCAAUAAAUUUUAAGCGAAUAUUAGAAAAUAUUUCCAACUGAUUGGGAAUGAUCCACAAACCAAACAUCAUUCAUAAACAUUAUCCAACAAACAAUUCUGAAUAAAAAAAUAAAUAUGAGAAACCUAUAGCCUGCUAGUAGACAAGUUAAUAAGAGAAAAAAUGAAAUUAAACUCCAUAAAUUAUUGUUAAUGAAUAACUUUUCCAGCACAAAUAUUGAAUUCGCUACCAUAUUUUCUCAUAUACAACAUGCACUGUCCAUGUUACAGGCCAGGUUGUAGGCAGCUAAGCUUAAAGACCUGGGUACUGUGAUCAGGGCUGGAUUAACACAUACUCAAACUAAGCACAUACCUAGUGCUCUAAGUGAAGAAGGGGCCCAACUGUGCUUAUUUUACAUAUUAUAAGUGAGUGAAAAAACUAGGGGUCCAUGAGUUUGCUUGCCUAAGGUCUACUAAAGGGUUAAUCUGUCCCUGACUUUGGGGCGGGGGAAGGGGAGGUGCUAGGAUCUGGGACAAAAUCCUGGAGCUGAAUUACUAAGUGUAGAGGGAAAUCCCAAAGUAGCAUCCACUGCACAGGCCAGAGGCAGACACUGGGAGGUCAGAAGCAGAGCAGAAAUUCACGGGUCAAAGUCUUAAUGCAGAGCCAGGCUGGGGGUCAAGAACCAUAAAACACAGGUCUGUAGGGAAAUCCAAAGCUAAAAUGCACAGAAAAGCUGAAAGCCAGAGCCAAGAACCAGGAAAAUCAGAUAGCACAAGAGUCAGGAGGCUUGCCACAGCAAAGUCACAAUUAUUGACUAGCCCGGAAAUCCAUACCUCCAGCUGGGUCUAAGGCUAGGGACAAAAGUUACACAUAAACCGGUUUAAGUCAUCAAAAACUGGUUUAAACCUGUAACACAACAGAAGCUCAGUGCACAUAAACCAGUUUCAAAAUGGCUGAAACUGACUUAAGAUAAACCUGGUUGAAUGUAGUAUUAGACUUAACUGAUUUGGGUCAAACCAAUUUAUGAAACUUCUGUCCCAGAGUCCAUCCUGGUUCAAGUUAAAUCAGAGUCCCCCAGCAUCCCAGCAUGCUUUCCAGCCCUAGGCUGGGCUGGACUAUCAACUCCAGCGGAGAAGGAUUUGCAGGGGAGGGGGCAGUGCCCUACCAGGCAAACCCUGGGUGGGGUCUGGGACCAGGGAGGGGAGUUAAGCCCCACUUCCCCAGUAUAGAGCUAUCUUGCUAAACUUAUUGAAAGUUACUGCUGGCUGUGACUAUGAACAACAAAUCCCAGAGGCACCUGGAAGCAGGAAAAGAAAGUGAUGAGCAACCCUACAGAGUCCGGCUUCUGUGAUACUGGACUACAAAUCCCAGAGACCUUGGGGGCAACAGGAAGAGGAAAUGCCAAAGAUCUUUAUUCUAAUGUCCACCCCGCCUGCUUAUGACCUGAGCUAUUGUAGAUAUGAAGCUGCAUUUCCUGAAUCAAAGGUAUAGGUGGAUUGUGGGCUGGCAGAGUCCAUGGUCAAGUGGAUUGGGAACUGGCUAAGGUGUCGAACCCAGACAGUGUUAGUGGACAGGUAUCACCAUCUCGUGGGCUGAAAGAAAUGACAGAAGCCUGUUCCCCAAGCUACUGAUUAACGCUUUCUCCAGUCGAGAAAUGGAUCAAUGUUUCAUCCAUCCAGACUGUUGAACUAUCUAAUUCUGAACAUUCUGCUAUGAAGACCCUGUGCACUGUGGAAUUUCUGCUAUUUACCUCACUACUGCUUGUUGCUGCCACAACAAAAAUAUCAUCACCAAACAGAACUAUCACCUGCCCCUUGGUCAAUACUAUGGCCUCAAGAAUGUUCUUCUGGAAUACCUUUCAUGCUCGGGGGUGGGAGAAGAGAUCCUACAUAUGUCAUAUUUGGGCAUCAAGAUCUAAUUCUUUGUCAUUGACAGGAGACAGGGUAGAGUUGUACCUUGUAGAAUAACUAAAUCAAGAUAUGCAGAAGCUUUCUUAAGCAACAGCUUCCUUCAUAGUUUCAUAGUUGGUAGGGUCGGAAGGGACGUGAGCAGGCCAUCAAGUCCAACCCCUUGCCAUGGGUAGGAAAGAAUGCUGGGGUCAAAUGACCCCGGCUAGGUGAUUAUCUAGCCUCCUUUUGAAGACCCCCAGAGUAGGAGCCAGCACCACUUCCCUUGGAAGUCGGUUCCAGUUCCUAGCCACUCUGACUGUGAAGUAGUGCUUCCUGAUGUCUAGCCUGAACAUACUCUCAGUCAAUUUGUAGCCGUUAUUCCUAGUUACUCCUGGUAGUGCUCAGGGGAACAGGGAUUCUCCUGUUUCCCGCUGGUCCUGCCUGGCAAGUUUAUAGAUGGCCACCAGAUCCCCUCUCAGCCUUCUCUUGUGGAGGCUGAACAGGUUCAGGUCCCUUACCCUCUCCUCGUAGGGCCUGCCCUGCUGACCCCUGAUCAUGUGAGUGGCCCUCCUCUGGACCCUCUCGAUGUUGUCCACAUCCCUCCUGAAGUGUGGCGCCCAGAACUGGAUGCAGUACUCCAACUGAGGCCUGACCAAUGUUGCAUAGAGGGGAAGGAUCACCUCCUUGAACCUGCUUGUGAUGCAUCUGUGGAUUCAUGACAAGGUGCAGGUAGCCAUACUGACCAUGUCCUUACAUUGGCAGCCCAUAUUCAUCUUCGAAUCUAUAAUGAUUCCAAGAUCCUUUUCUGCCUCUGUGCUGAUGAGAAGGGAGUUCCCCAGCCUAUAGGCAUGCUGGUGGUUCUUUCUCCCUAGGUGCAGUACCCUGCACUCAUCAGUAUUGAAUCCCAUUCUAUUCUUAUCCGAUGACCCCUAUAACCUGUCCAGAUCUAGUUGUAGCCUGUCCCUCUCUUCUAACAUGCCCACCUCUUCCCACAUCUUAGUGUCAUCCACGAAUUUGAACAAGGUGCUUUUCACCCCCUUGUCCAAGUUGCUGAUGAAGAUGUUAUACAAUGCGGGCCCGAGGACCGAGCCCUGGGGGACCCCACUGCCCACAUCCCUCCUGGUAAAAAAUGACCCAUCCACUACCACUCUCUGGGUGUGACCCUCCAGCCAAUUUGCAACCCAUCUGACUGUGUCAGCAUCGAUGCCAUAGUCGCCUAGUUUAUCAAUGAGAAUGGGGUGAGAGACAGUGUCGAAGGCCUUCCUAAAGUCCAGAAAGACUACACCACUUCGACACCUGUGUCUAAGGAUUUUGUGACCUGGUCAUAGAAGGCAAUCAGGUUGAUCUGACAGGACUUGCCCCUAAUGAACCCACGUUGGUUGCCCCUAAGCAUAAUCUCCCCUGCUGGUCCCCCGCAGAUGUGCUCCUGAAUAAUUUUCUCAAAGAGCUUCCCCAGGAUCGAGGUAAGACUAAUGGGCCUAUAAUUUCCUGGGUCCUCCUUCCUCCCCUUUUUGAAAAUGGGGACCACACUGGCCCUUUUCCAGUCCUCUGGCACCUGGCCAGGGUACCACGAGUACUCGUAAAGCUGUGCCAGGGGUCCCGCAAUGACCUCUGCCAAUUCCCUCAACACCCUGGGGUGAAGAUCAUCUGGACCUGCUGAUUUGAACACAUCCAGCCCCACCAGAAGUUCCCUAACUAGGUCCUCUCUGACCCUAGGCCUGGCAGUGCCUCUCCUGAAUCCAUCUGGAAUCCCAGUGGGGGGGAUGUCCCGGUUCCUGCUCAGAAAAAUGGAGGCAAAGAAUUUGUCAAAGAGGUCAGCUUUAUCGUCUGGUGCAACCACCAGAUUGCCAAGCGUGUCCUGCAGGGGCCCCACAUUACCCGGUGCUUUGUUUUUACUCCCUAUAUAUUUAAAAAAGGACUUCUUGUUAUCUUUGAUCCUGGUCACUAGUCCUAGUUCUGUCUCCGCCUUAGCCUUCCUAACAGCCCCCCUACAGUCUCAAACAAUGGAGGUAUAAUAUUCCUUGUUUAUAGCCCCUCCCUUCCAUCAGGUGUACACCUCCUUUUUAGCUUUCAGACGUUCCUGAAUGCCUUUGGGGAGCCAUGGGGGCUUUUGAGCACUCUUGCCCCCUUUGACUCACGUUGGGACUGUUACUCUUUGGGCUCGGAGGAUCAUCUCCUUAAGGACUGACCACUCAUCUUGAACUCCCAACUCCCCUACCUUCUGGGACCUCAGUGCCUCCCUGACUAAUUCCUUAACUCAUUGAAAUCAGCCCUCCUGAAAUCAAGGGUUGCUGCCUUGCUGCGUGCCUUUGACACCCUGCGAUGGAUGAUGAAUUCUAGUAGGCAAUGAUCGCUAUCGCCCAGGUGGUCAGGAACCCGCAGUCCCCUCACCAGCUCAUCGCCUGUGGCCAGGACCAGGUCCGGCAAGGCAUUUCCCCUGGUAGGACUGUGCACCUCCUAGGUUAGGUGGAGGUCCUGUAUCUCAACUAGGAACCUACGUGAGUGGUCAGACCUGGCUGACUGCUCCUCCCAGCCGAUGUUUGGGUAGUUUAGGUCACCCAUGAUGACCACAUCCCUUGACCUAACUGCCUUUGCAAGCUGACCUGAGAAUUCCCAGUCCAGCUUCUCCCCCUGGUUGGGUGAUGUGAUGGGCUAGCUGGCAGUGACUUAGCCCAGGGAUUUUGAAAGGGCAAAAGAUGAUUGGAGGACUUGGGAUUCCCUUUCCUCACCAAUCUGGUAAUGAUUUGGUCCAGAGGUAAAAGAUGAUUGGAGGACUUGGGACUCCCUUUCCUCACCAAUCAGGCCCCAGAGACUCACCCUCCAUGUCCUCUGAUUGGCCCCUUGGGUCACCUGGAAGGGGAUAAAAGGGGCAGCAUGGAUGACUCAAGAGAGAAACCAGCAAAGGACCACAAGGAAGGAGCUUCAAAGAGCUGGCAAGAGCUGAGCCAGCAGGGUGGGAGCAGUUGCCCCAGAAGAGCCUGAAGGAGUGGGACCUGCAGGCAGCAGUUGGACCCUCAGCAGCGCAGCGUGCGGCCGGCAGGAGAGGCUUCUCACUGGGCUCCAGGAUCACCUACGAGAGGCUGUGGCCAGCAGGAGAGGCUCCCCAGCUCCAGCAAGGAUCUGAGCAGCGACCUGAGAGGUUCCCAGCCCUGCUUCCAGCUCCUCCAAUAAGAGGCCAGGCAGCUUGAUGUGAGGCUGGGGCUCCGGGAAGAUCAAGACCCCUAGCAGGUUGAAGAAGUACUACUGCUGGUGGCUGCAUGGUAGAGUUUUUGGCUAACAGGUGGCAGAUCCAAGUUCAAAUCCCACGACGGGUAACUUGGAGUGAGUGAGCUAACAGGGAGAAAAUACUCUUGAAGUAGAAAGGGGCCACUGUGCUCCCCCUUCAGGCCCUAUAUUCCUUGUCAUUUGACGUUUUGUAUUUUGUGCCUUUUAUAUUUCACCCACCAGUAUUGUUUGUUCUGCAGUUUGUGUUUUACAUUUUGGUUAACCCUGUCUUUUGUCAACAGGAUGAAUAUGUCUAUGAUCAUGUCUAACCUUUGUUGAAACCUGCCCCCUCGGGGCAUUGUAGUGUCCCCUAUACCCCCUGGUUUAUACUGGUUAUGUUCCCAGUUUUGUUCUCUUAUUAAAAGGUAUAUGGUUAAGUCCC
Molecule: long non-coding RNA, 6049 nt
Organism: Alligator mississippiensis (American alligator)
Lineage: Eukaryota; Metazoa; Chordata; Crocodylia; Alligatoridae
Exons: 5
Source: RefSeq, a predicted model, not a curated record